Molecule: ribosomal RNA, 497 nt
Filed under: uncultured bacterium
Lineage: Bacteria
Description: partial 16S ribosomal RNA
Rfam family: Bacterial small subunit ribosomal RNA
Source: RNAcentral
GAUGAACGCUGGCGGCGUGCCUAAUACAUGCAAGUCGAGCGAACAGACGAGGAGCUUGCUCCUCUGACGUUAGCGGCGGACGGGUGAGUAACACGUGGAUAACCUACCUAUAAGACUGGGAUAACUUCGGGAAACCGGAGCUAAUACCGGAUAAUAUAUUGAACCGCAUGGUUCAAUAGUGAAAGACGGUUUUGCUGUCACUUAUAGAUGGAUCCGCGCCGCAUUAGCUAGUUGGUAAGGUAACGGCUUACCAAGGCAACGAUGCGUAGCCGACCUGAGAGGGUGAUCGGCCACACUGGAACUGAGACACGGUCCUGACUCCUACGUGAGGCAGCAGUACGGAAGCUUCCGCAAUGGGCGAAAGCUUGCCGGAGCAACGCCGCGUGAGUGAUGAAGGUCUUCGGAUCGUAAAACUCUGUUAUUAGGGAAGAACAAAUGUGUAAGUAACUAUGCACGUCUUGACGGUACCUAAUCAGAAAGCCACGGCUAACUACGUG